CAGUAGCCACGGGAAUACGUAGGGUGCAAGCGUUAUCCGGAAUUAUUGGGCGUAAAGAGCUCGUAGGCGGUUUGUCGCGUCUGCUGUGAAAACUGGAGGCUCAACCUCCAGCCUGCAGUGGGUACGGGCAGACUAGAGUGCGGUAGGGGAGAUUGGAAUUCCUGGUGUAGCGGUGGAAUGCGCAGAUAUCAGGAGGAACACCGAUGGCGAAGGCAGAUCUCUGGGCCGUAACUGACGCUGAGGAGCGAAAGCAUGGGGAGCGAACAGGAUUAGAUACCCCGGUAGUCCCUGUCUCUUAUAA
Molecule: ribosomal RNA, 301 nt
Filed under: uncultured bacterium
Lineage: Bacteria
Description: partial 16S ribosomal RNA
Rfam family: Bacterial small subunit ribosomal RNA
Source: RNAcentral